UAUAAGGAUCAACUGCCGCAGGUCGAUCUGUCGCCGGUUGUAGUUGAGUGGGACUUGGACGGCGAUGAACCUGCCAACACAGCCCCAGGUUGAAGAUGGACGCCGUGCACAGCAUCACGUCCAUGGUCAUCAGGGCAUCACACAGCACCGUGCUCAGGGACCACACACCUCCCUGGAACUGGAAAGAUCCCAGGGUCAGCAGAUGCCUUUAAAGUGACAGGGAACACCUCCGUGCCUGGGCACCUCAGCCUCUCACGGUUCCUCCUGACAAGCAGCCCAAGGCUCCUGCCGUGGCACGAUGCUCCCAGCGUGGCAGUGGCACACAGGAGUCAGCCCCGUGCAGGAGCUCACAGCCUGCCCAGGGCUGGCUGGAGAACAGCCCACAGAGCGUCAGCACGGCCAGCUUGGUCAUCUUGGCCAGGGACACAGCUCUGCACAGCCCCUGGCAGAGGACAGGCAGCAGGACAGCAAUGGCUGAUGCUGGUACGGCCAGAGACUACUUGCAGCAGUUUGUUCCAGCCGAGCGCUCAUCUCACCCAGAGAGAACCGCUCAGCCUCAGGAGCUGCUGGGCCGGCCCGGGGCGGACACCCCCGGGCACCUCCACUCGGGGCACCUCCAC
Long non-coding RNA from Empidonax traillii (willow flycatcher), 620 nucleotides. RefSeq lists it as uncharacterized. NCBI's taxonomy places the organism in Eukaryota, Metazoa, Chordata, Aves, Passeriformes, Tyrannidae. The record is from RefSeq and is a predicted model, not a curated record. The transcript has 4 exons.